Molecule: non-coding RNA, 478 nt
Organism: Marmota monax (woodchuck)
Lineage: Eukaryota; Metazoa; Chordata; Mammalia; Rodentia; Sciuridae
Source: the annotation of a RefSeq genome assembly
ACAGCCCACUGCCCUGAGGACUUCUUAAGAGGCUGCUCACACCCUGUGCAGGAGUCAGUCCCCUUCAGGACACAGCAUGGCCAUGAGGACCCCUACUCAUAUCCUGGGACUCCUGCUGCUCUGCAUUACAGGUGUCAGAUGUGAUAUCAUGAUGACCCAGUCUCCAUCAUCCUUGCCUGUGUCUCGUGGAGACAGAGUCACCAUCACCUGCAGAGCUAGUCAGGGCAUUAGCAGUAGUUUACACUGGUAUCAGCAGAAACCAGGACAACCUCCUAAGCUCCUCAUCAGAUAUGCAAACACUUUGCAAUCUGGAGUCCCCUCAAGGUUCAGUGGCAGUGGAUCUGGGACAGAUUUCACUCUCACCAUCAGCAGCCUGGAGCCUGAAGAUGUUGCCACUUAUUACUGUCAACAGAGUAGUAGUUUGCCACACACAGUGAUACAGGCCAUGACAAAAACCUACCAAGGAGCAGAAGUGUGA